UUAAGCGACUAAGCGUACACGGUGGAUGCCCUGGCAGUCAGAGGCGAUGAAGGACGUGCUAAUCUGCGAUAAGCGUCGGUAAGGUGAUAUGAACCGUUAUAACCGGCGAUUUCCGAAUGGGGAAACCCAGUGUGUUUCGACACACUAUCAUUAACUGAAUCCAUAGGUUAAUGAGGCGAACCGGGGGAACUGAAACAUCUAAGUACCCCGAGGAAAAGAAAUCAACCGAGAUUCCCCCAGUAGCGGCGAGCGAACGGGGAGCAGCCCAGAGCCUGAAUCAGUGUGUGUGUUAGUGGAAGCGUCUGGAAAGGCGCGCGAUACAGGGUGACAGCCCCGUACACAAAAAUGCACAUGCUGUGAGCUCGAUGAGUAGGGCGGGACACGUGGUAUCCUGUCUGAAUAUGGGGACCAUCCUCCAAGGCUAAAUACUCCUGACUGACCGAUAGUGAACCAGUACCGUGAGGAAAGGCGAAAAGAACCCCGGCGAGGGAGUGAAAAGAACCUGAAACCGUGUACGUACAAGCAGUGGGAGCACGCUUAGGCGUGUGACUGCGUACCUUUGUAUAAUGGGUCAGCGACUUAUAUUCUGUAGCAAGGUUAACCGAAUAGGGGAGCCGAAGGAAACCGAGUCUUAACUGGGCGUUAAGUUGCAGGGUAUAGACCCGAAACCCGGUGAUCUAGCCAUGGGCAGGUUGAAGGUUGGGUAACACUAACUGGAGGACCGAACCGACUAAUGUUGAAAAAUUAGCGGAUGACUUGUGGCUGGGGGUGAAAGGCCAAUCAAACCGGGAGAUAGCUGGUUCUCCCCGAAAGCUAUUUAGGUAGCGCCUCGUGAAUUCAUCUCCGGGGGUAGAGCACUGUUUCGGCAAGGGGGUCAUCCCGACUUACCAACCCGAUGCAAACUGCGAAUACCGGAGAAUGUUAUCACGGGAGACACACGGCGGGUGCUAACGUCCGUCGUGAAGAGGGAAACAACCCAGACCGCCAGCUAAGGUCCCAAAGUCAUGGUUAAGUGGGAAACGAUGUGGGAAGGCCCAGACAGCCGGAUGUUGGCUUAGAAGCAGCCAUCAUUUAAAGAAAGCGUAAUAGCUCACUGGUCGAGUCGGCCUGCGCGGAAGAUGUAACGGGCUAAACCAUGCACCGAAGCGCGGCAGCGACGCUGAUGCGUUGUUGGGUAGGGGAGCGUUCUGUAAGCCUGCGAAGGUGUGCUGUGAGGCAUGCUGGAGGUAUCAGAAGUGCGAAUGCUGACAUAAGUAACGAUAAAGCGGGUGAAAAGCCCGCUCGCCGGAAGACCAAGGGUUCCUGUCCAACGUUAAUCGGGGCAGGGUGAGUCGACCCCUAAGGCGAGGCCGAAAGGCGUAGUCGAUGGGAAACAGGUUAAUAUUCCUGUACUUGGUGUUACUGCGAAGGGGACGGAGAAGGCUAUGUUGGCCGGGCGACGGUUGUCCCGGUUUAAGCGUGUAGGCUGGUUUUCCGCAAAUCCGGAAAAUCAAGGCUGAGGCGUGAUGACGAGGCACUACGGUGCUGAAGCAACAAAUGCCCUGCUUCCGUGAAAAGCCUCUAAGCAUCAGGUAACAUCAAAUCGUACCCCAAACCGACACAGGUGGUCAGGUAGAGAAUACCAAGGCGCUUGAGAGAACUCGGGUGAAGGAACUAGGCAAAAUGGUGCCGUAACUUCGGGAGAAGGCACGCUGAUAUGUAGGUGAAGCGACUUGCUCGUGGAGCUGAAAUCAGUCGAAGAUACCAGCUGGCUGCAACUGUUUAUUAAAACACAGCACUGUGCAAACACGAAAGUGGACGUAUACGGUGUGACGCCUGCCCGGUGCCGGAAGGUUAAUUGAUGGGGUCAGCGCAAGCGAAGCUCUUGAUCGAAGCCCCGGUAAACGGCGGCCGUAACUAUAACGGUCCUAAGGUAGCGAAAUUCCUUGUCGGGUAAGUUCCGACCUGCACGAAUGGCGUAAUGAUGGCCAGGCUGUCUCCACCCGAGACUCAGUGAAAUUGAACUCGCUGUGAAGAUGCAGUGUACCCGCGGCAAGACGGAAAGACCCCGUGAACCUUUACUAUAGCUUGACACUGAACAUUGAGCCUUGAUGUGUAGGAUAGGUGGGAGGCUUGGAAGUGUGGACGCCAGUCUGCAUGGAGCCGACCUGAAAUACCACCCUUUAAUGUUUGAUGUUCUAACGUUGACCCGUAAUCCGGGUUGCGGACAGUGUCUGGUGGGUAGUUUGACUGGGGCGGUCUCCUCCUAAAGAGUAACGGAGGAGCACGAAGGUUGGCUAAUCGGUCGGACAUCAGGAGGUUAGUGCAAUGGCAUAAGCCAGCUUGACUGCGAGCGUGACGGCGCGAGCAGGUGCGAAAGCAGGUCAUAGUGAUCCGGUGGUUCUGAAUGGAAGGGCCAUCGCUCAACGGAUAAAAGGUACUCCGGGGAUAACAGGCUGAUACCGCCCAAGAGUUCAUAUCGACGGCGGUGUUUGGCACCUCGAUGUCGGCUCAUCACAUCCUGGGGCUGAAGUAGGUCCCAAGGGUAUGGCUGUUCGCCAUUUAAAGUGGUACGCGAGCUGGGUUUAGAACGUCGUGAGACAGUUCGGUCCCUAUCUGCCGUGGGCGCUGGAGAACUGAGGGGGGCUGCUCCUAGUACGAGAGGACCGGAGUGGACGCAUCACUGGUGUUCGGGUUGUCAUGCCAAUGGCACUGCCCGGUAGCUAAAUGCGGAAGAGAUAAGUGCUGAAAGCAUCUAAGCACGAAACUUGCCCCGAGAUGAGUUCUCCCUGACCCUUUAAGGGUCCUGAAGGAACGUUGAAGACGACGACGUUGAUAGGCCGGGUGUGUAAGCGCAGCGAUGCGUUGAGCUAACCGGUACUAAUGAACCGUGAGGCUUAACCU
RNAcentral lists this ribosomal RNA (2883 nucleotides) under Escherichia coli. RNAcentral's name for it is "bacterial LSU rRNA". It matches the Rfam family "Bacterial large subunit ribosomal RNA". Lineage: Bacteria; Pseudomonadati; Pseudomonadota; Gammaproteobacteria; Enterobacterales; Enterobacteriaceae. The record is from RNAcentral.